UAAGUAUAUACUGUUUUCAUUUAGUUUAUUGAUAUUCUUUGAAGUCAGGUUAUUAUUUCAUUAUUUAUAUUAGACGUCAAAAUAGGAACUCUUAUUUUGAAAAGGCUUCGCUCGUUAAAACGGACGGAAUUAGCAAGUGUUUAAAAAAAGUGCGCCUGUGUCUUGAGAAGCACAUCCACGGAGUGAGAAGAGAGUGAUUAAUUAUUGUAUUAUCAUAUGAUUAAUGAGCUCCAGGCUGAUAUGGCACAAGCUGUUACGGUGAGUUCAUGAGUGAAUAAGGUUCACUAAAAUAAAGCACUAUGAACCAUCAGUCAAGGCCUGUGGCCAUCAUUCAGCCCGGGAUGCUGCAUGGACCACCAAGUAUCUCACCUCCAGACAGGUCAGACAAGGAGAAAUCCACAAGUCAUCCAGUUUUACAUCUGAGUUUAUGAUGCAUAUGAGCAGAGGAGCAUGUGCACAUGACCUGUAAGAGCGCAGAGGCAGGACAUCAUAUGGAGGGUGCAGUGAAGGAACAGCAACGUAUUGAAACUGUGAACUUUAACACAGUACCUACUGCAAAGGACAAAAACAGCCAAUGAUGAAAUACAGGGGUGUGAAAAAUGAAAAAAAAGAGUCUUCUCUGCUCGCUUGUUUAACUUUCGGUGGUCAGACUACUGCAUGGAGUGUGAACGGAAACUGCAGAGGCAUGCAGAACAGUGAGACGUAGACAACCUCUGUGACCUGCAGAUAUCAGACUUAAUCUCAAGGGAGAAAACGCCACAAGCCAUCGGAGCUUGUUCACUAAAACAGCUGCCUGAUGCUGGACAUGAGGCUGACGAGAGUGCUGAAAGUGAGCUGAAACAGUAGAGUUAUGGCCCAUGAAAUCAAAAAACAGUGCUUAAAUACACUAAAAUGCUUUGUACAGCUGAGUCAGGCAAUAAAUUUCUGGGGCUUCAUUAACAAAACUUUCACCUUAUACAGUCAUUUGACCUAUUGUUAACAUAAAAAUAUUCUUAAGUCUUUAACUUAAAUUUUUUGUUGUGUUCCUUGCUUCUCCAACAGUAAGUAUGGUAAUUUCUUGCAACAUGGAAGGCAGGCAUUGUAAUAUUUCUAUAUUUUUGUAUUUCCUGUACUAAUUAUCAGCUUUAUUUUUCCUUGUCGAUUGCGUCUUUGGCAUCAUUAAUUUCUGCUUUAGUUUUGAACUUACCUUAGCAUGGCUGGUUUGGUCAGACCCUGAGAACCUGAGAUAUAUUUGGACUGUAAAUGACCUUUAAUGUGAAUAUUGUUUCUAAGUAUAUACUGUUUUCAUUUAGUUUAUUGAUAUUCUUUGAAGUCAGGUUAUUAUUUCAUUAUUUAUAUUAGACGUCAAAAUAGGAACUCUUAUUUUGAAAAGGCUUCGCUCGUUAAAACGGACGGAAUUAGCAAGUGUUUAAAAAGUGCGCCUGUGUCUUGAGAAGCACAUCCACGGAGUGAGAAGAGAGUGAUUAAUUAUUGUAUUAUCAUAUGAUUAAUGAGCUCCAGGCUGAUAUGGCACAAGCUGUUACGGUGAGUUCAUGAGUGAAUAAGGUUCACUAAAAUAAAGCACUAUGAACCAUCAGUCAAGGCCUGUGACCAUCAUUCAGCCCGGGAUGCUGCAUGGACCACCGAGUAUCUCACCUCCAGACAGGUCAGCUGUUACGGUGAGUUCAUGAGUGAAUAACGUUCACUAAAAUAAAGCACUAUGAACCAUCAGUCAAGGCCUGUGACCAUCAUUCAGCCCGGGAUGCUGCAUGGACCACCAAGUAUCUCACCUCCAGACAGGUCAGACAAGGAGAAAUCCACAAGUCAUCCAGUUUUACAUCUGAGUUUAUGAUGCAUAUGAGCAGAGGAGCAUGUGCACAUGACCUGUAAGAGCGCAGAGGCAGGACAUCAUAUGGAGGGUGCAGUGAAGGAACAGCAACGUAUUGAAACUGUGAACUUUAACACAGUACCUACUGCAAAGGACAAAAACAGCCAAUGAUGAAAUACAGGGGUGUGAAAAAUGAAAAAAAAGAGUCUUCUCUGCUCGCUUGUUUAACUUUCGGUGGUCAGACUACUGCGUAGAGUGUGAACGGAAACUGCAGAGGCAUGCAGAACAGUGAGAUGUAGACAACCUCUGUGACCUGCAGAUAUCAGACUUAAUCUCAAGGGAGAAAACGCCACAAGCCAUCGGAGCUUGUUCACUAAAACAGCUGCCUGAUGCUGGACAUGAGGCUGACGAGAGUGCUGAAAGUGAGCUGAAACAGUAGAGUUAUGGCCCAUAAAAUCAAAAACGGUGCUUAAAUACACUAAAAUGCUUUGUACAGCUGAGUCAGGCAAUAAAUUUCUGUGGCUUCAUUAACAAAACUUUCACCUUAUACAGUCAUUUGACCUAUUGUUAACAUAAAAAUAUUCUUAAGUCUUUAACUUAAAUUUUUUGUUGUGUUCCUUGCUUCUCCAACAGUAAGUAUGGUAAUUUCUUGCAACAUGGAAGGCAGGCAUUGUAAUAUUUCUAUAUUUUUGUAUUUCCUGUACUAAUUAUCAGAGAGCUAACGGCCUCUCCGUUCACUAUGCAGCAUAUAAACACUAUCUAAAUUUUAAGAAUGUAGGAAGUUUCACAGGCUGAUGAAUUUUAGUCAACAAAUUAUUUACAGGACCACUACUCACAUCCACAUAAACACAGUUUUGCUGUCUUUAAUGUGCACAAUACCUCAAUUUAUGAAGUUUAGGAUGUUAAAAUACAAAAGUACAGAGAUGCUGCCGAUGUAAAAACACACAAAACCCACUGGUGGUCUUCUUGUAAAGACUUUGAAUUUGGUGUACAGUACCUUUCACGGAGAGAAGGAAGACGA
Scatophagus argus is the source of this 2828-nucleotide long non-coding RNA. RefSeq lists it as uncharacterized. The transcript has 6 exons. The record is from RefSeq and is a predicted model, not a curated record. NCBI's taxonomy places the organism in Eukaryota, Metazoa, Chordata, Actinopteri, Scatophagidae.